UUCAUGUGGAAUGAGUUCCAAGGACCUGGAAGCCACCCAAUUGCAGCUAACUCCUAUUUGGAGAAUGAAAAAGCCUGCUGUAUGCUUCUUCAGUGCCUUAUCAUAUUGCUGCUAAAACUCCAUGCGUGCAAUGCACUGGUCAUAACCAAGUAAACCAGAUUCUAAUCCAUAUUCAAGUGAC
Molecule: long non-coding RNA, 181 nt
Organism: Rhincodon typus (whale shark)
Lineage: Eukaryota; Metazoa; Chordata; Chondrichthyes; Orectolobiformes; Rhincodontidae
Exons: 3
Source: RefSeq, a predicted model, not a curated record